ACCGCGAGUGCUCCGUUGGUAGAGCAUCUGCCCGGUAAGCAGAGUGUCGCCGGUUCGAUUCCGGCUCGCAGUG
RNAcentral lists this transfer RNA (73 nucleotides) under Fasciola gigantica. It matches the Rfam family "tRNA". Rfam says of the family: Transfer RNA (tRNA) molecules are approximately 80 nucleotides in length. Their secondary structure includes four short double-helical elements and three loops (D, anti-codon, and T loops). Lineage: Eukaryota; Metazoa; Platyhelminthes; Trematoda; Plagiorchiida; Fasciolidae. The record is from Rfam by way of RNAcentral.